RNAcentral lists this long non-coding RNA (583 nucleotides) under Lepidothrix coronata (blue-crowned manakin). Its description in RNAcentral is "lncRNA (ENSLCOG00000010226.1)". Lineage: Eukaryota; Metazoa; Chordata; Aves; Passeriformes; Pipridae. The record is from RNAcentral.
CGGGGGGACGGUCCGGCGCUCUGAGCGCGGGAGAGACGUUCCGGGGAGAGAAGUGGCCGGGGAGAGAAGGCCUCGAGGCGUCGCCCUGGGGCUCCUUCCCCAGGGCUGCCCCGGGCUGUGGGGAGCCAUGGGACGGGCUCUGCAGAGCUCUGGGACGGGCUGUGGAGAGACGGAGAACACCAUGGAGUGAAUUCACCCCGUUUGGAUUUGCAAGUUAAUUGUGAUGCAACAAAGACGUUUCCACACAUUGUUAAAUUAAACCCAAAUUAACAUUCCUGGGAGGAAUCCCUUCUGUACCUCUCUCUCUGGUGAUGUGUAAAACCACGGGGGAUUACGGAGCCGCAGCGAGGCACCACCACUUGUUACUUGGUGGCAGAAGUAAGUGGGACAUCUCGCAGUAAUAGAUUGAAAUCUUUUAAUGCUGCUUUGGCACGACCCAGAAGGCUCAGUGAGGGCAAGUCUUUUAUUAAUAGAACCUCUCCAAGUGCUCCUUUUCUCCCACGGAGUAGCCGGCGGAGUUAAAGAUCCUUGUUAAAAAACCACCGACGUGGUUACAAUUUAGGCAAAUGCAGUAAAAGUGAUC